GGGGAAUAUUGCACAAUGGAGGAAACUCUGAUGCAGCGACGCCGCGUGAGUGAAGAAGGUCUUCGGAUCGUAAAACUCUGUCCUUGGUGACGAAAAAAUGACGGUAGCCAAGGAGGAAGCCCCGGCUAACUACGUGCCAGCAGCCGCGGUAAUACGUAGGGAGCAAGCGUUGUCCGGAUUUACUGGGUGUAAAGGGUGCGUAGGCGGCCCUGCAAGUCAGGCGUGAAAGGCGGAGGCUUAACCUCCGAGCUGCGUUUGAAACUGUGGGGCUUGAGUGGAGCAGAGGCAGGCGGAAUUCCCGGUGUAGCGGUGAAAUGCGUAGAGAUCGGGAGGAACACCAGUGGCGAAGGCGGCCUGCUGGGCUUUAACUGACGCUGAAGCACGAAAGCAUGGGUAGCAAACA
RNAcentral lists this ribosomal RNA (403 nucleotides) under uncultured Eubacteriales bacterium. Its description in RNAcentral is "bacterial SSU rRNA". It matches the Rfam family "Bacterial small subunit ribosomal RNA", at positions 356 to 774 of the family's 1533-position model. The record is from RNAcentral. Lineage: Bacteria; Bacillati; Bacillota; Clostridia; Eubacteriales.